RNAcentral lists this ribosomal RNA (301 nucleotides) under uncultured bacterium. RNAcentral's name for it is "partial 16S ribosomal RNA". It matches the Rfam family "Bacterial small subunit ribosomal RNA", at positions 509 to 807 of the family's 1533-position model. The record is from RNAcentral.
CAGCCGCCACGGUAAUACAGAGGGUGCGAGCGUUAAUCGGAUUUACUGGGCGUAAAGCGUGCGUAGGCGGCUUUUUAAGUCGGAUGUGAAAUCCCUGAGCUUAACUUAGGAAUUGCAUUCGAUACUGGGAAGCUAGAGUAUGGGAGAGGAUGGUAGAAUUCCAGGUGUAGCGGUGAAAUGCGUAGAGAUCUGGAGGAAUACCGAUGGCGAAGGCAGCCAUCUGGCCUAAUACUGACGCUGAGGUACGAAAGCAUGGGGAGCAAACAGGAUUAGAUACCCCUGUAGUCCCUGUCUCUUAUAC